AGUGAACGCUGGCGGUAGGCCUAACACAUGCAAGUCGAACGGCAGCACAGUAGGAGCUUGCUCUUACGGGUGGCGAGUGGCGGACGGGUGAGGAAUACAUCGGAAUCUACUUUUUCGUGGGGGAUAACGUAGGGAAACUUACGCUAAUACCGCAUACGACCUACGGGCGAAAGCAGGGGAUCUUCGGACCUUGCGCGAUUGAAUGAGCCGAUGUCGGAUUAGCUAGUUGGCGGGGUAAAGGCCCACCAAGGCGACGAUCCGUAGCUGGUCUGAGAGGAUGAUCAGCCACACUGGAACUGAGACACGGUCCAGACUCCUACGGGAGGCAGCAGUGGGGAAUAUUGGACAAUGGGCGCAAGCCUGAUCCAGCCAUACCGCGUGGGUGAAGAAGGCCUUCGGGUUGUAAAGCCCUUUUGUUGGGAAAGAAAAGCAGCAGGUUAAUACCCCGCUGUUCUGACGGUACCCAAAGAAUAAGCACCGGCUAACUUCGUG
RNAcentral lists this ribosomal RNA (492 nucleotides) under uncultured bacterium. RNAcentral describes it as "partial 16S ribosomal RNA". It matches the Rfam family "Bacterial small subunit ribosomal RNA", at positions 29 to 507 of the family's 1533-position model. The record is from RNAcentral.